Molecule: ribosomal RNA, 1582 nt
Filed under: Pallisentis sp. KR1
Lineage: Eukaryota; Metazoa; Acanthocephala; Eoacanthocephala; Gyracanthocephala; Quadrigyridae
Description: partial large subunit ribosomal RNA
Rfam family: Eukaryotic large subunit ribosomal RNA
Source: RNAcentral
UAUUAUCAUCGCCUACCAUUAUCUCUUUGCUGUGAGGUCACGCUCAGCUGUUUUCGUCGUGCAAAUCAAUCGUCAGACUUGGGUAUAGGGGCGAAAGACUAAUCGAACCAUCUAGUAGCUGGUUCCCCUCGAAGUUUCCCCCAGGAAAGCUGGUGUCAUAUGUGACAAUUUUAUCUGGUAAAGCGAAUGAUUAGAGGCAUUGGGGACAAACUGUCUUCGACCUAUUCUCAAACUUUAAAUGGGUAAUGAGCCGAAACACUUCUUGAUUGAGUGUAUUGGUAAAAUGCAAUGAUACCAAGUGGGCCGACGGAUGCAGUACAUGCAUGAACUGAGCGCUGUGGGAUGAACCAAACGUUGAGCUAGGGUGCCCAAAGUGCUUCUCAUGAGAUACCAUGAAAGGUGUCAGCCGAUAUUGACAGCAGAGACGGUGGCCACAGAAGUCGGAAUCCGCUAAGGAGUGUGUAGUAACUCCACCUGCCGAAUCGACUGGCCCUGAAAAUGAAUGGCGCGGGAGACGUAUACCCAUGUCUCGACCGUCAAUGCCAAACGUGCAAUACAUCGAAUUUCUGGCUUGACGUGUAGAGGGGCGACUGCGACGGCGUCGAAAUCUGCAGCGUGAGCUGGGAUAGAGCCGUUGCAUGUGCAGAUCUUGGUGGUAGUAGCAAGUAUUCAAAUGAGAGCAUUGAAGACUGAAGUGGAGAAAGGUUCCAUGUGAACAUCAUUUGGACAUGGAUCAGCCGAUCCUAAGAGAACGUAUAAGUUCGUGAUGAAGCGCGUCGCUUUGUGCGAUGCAAUCGAAAGGGAAUCGGGUUAAUAUUCCCGAGCCAGGAUACGGAAUAUGUCUGAUGCCCCAACAGUGCCUCGGUGCUGUUGGAAUCAGGCGAGAGCGGUAACGCUAACAAACCCAGAGAUUAACUAUGCGAUGUCCGGGGAAGAGUUUUCUCUUCUUUGUUAGGAAUGUUAUCCCUGGAAGCAGAUUGUCUGGCGAUAGGGUACCGCAUUCCGUAAUGCAACGCGAUUCCUGCGAUGUACCGUGCGCAUUGUAUAGUGCUUGAAAAUCUGGGGGCGAUUUCAUUUUUGUCGUACCUGUUCGUACUGAUUUCCGCAGCAGGUCUCCAAGGUGAGCAAGCCCUCUAGUCCAUAGGACAAAGUAGAACAAGCGAAGUCGGCAAAUUCAGAUCCGUAACUUCGGAAAAAGGAUUGGCUCUAGAAGCUGAGCUCAUCGGGCUGUUGCAAGAAAUGGGGCGUGAAGCCUCGGCUCUGACCCAGAUUCUAAGCUCGCAAGGGUGAUAAAGAUCGAGGUUGGACACUUGGCAUGAUCUGUCCCAUGGAAGGCAACAGCUGUACCUUUUCUCUGGCUGCCUCGGUGACCAGUUUUAAGGCUCCGAUGAGCGUUUAACAGCUGACCUAGAACUGGUACGGACAAGGGGAAUCCAACUGUUUAAUUAAAACAAAGCAUUGCGAUAGCUGUAAUCGGUGUUGACGCAAUGAUGAUUUCUGCCCAGUGCUCUGAAUGUUACACACGUGAAAGGAAUAGUGUCGAUCCUAUGCGUGAGUAGGUACGACAGAAUCUUCACCUUCA